UGGUUUCCACCGUCUUCUUCGUGAAGACGGUGGUGCUACUGUUCAUCUUUUUUUUGUGUGCAGAAUUUUAUAAAAUUUAUAUCGUUGGAAAGGUCUUGAUGAGUAGAUUCCAAAUAUCAUAAAAGCUAAGCCUAAUUCUCAACAUAUUUUCUGGAUCGAAGGAAAUAAGUUUCUAUUUAUAAAAUUUAUAUCGUUGGAAAGGUCUUGAUGAGUAGAUUCCAAAUAUCAUAAAAGCUAAGCCUAAUUCUCAACAUAUUUUCUGGAUCGAAGGAAAUAAGUUU
RNAcentral lists this long non-coding RNA (281 nucleotides) under Lathyrus oleraceus (garden pea). RNAcentral's name for it is "Pisum sativum (pea) long non-coding RNA (PSAT_LNC016366)". The record is from RNAcentral. Lineage: Eukaryota; Viridiplantae; Streptophyta; Magnoliopsida; Fabales; Fabaceae.